Molecule: long non-coding RNA, 495 nt
Organism: Etheostoma spectabile (orangethroat darter)
Lineage: Eukaryota; Metazoa; Chordata; Actinopteri; Perciformes; Percidae
Exons: 2
Source: RefSeq, a predicted model, not a curated record
CACUAGGGAAUGCUGGAUGAUGGCCAGACUUCAGCUAGAAGACCUGAACAAAGACACCAUGUUGAACCACGAGACAUCUGAAUUAAAGAUGGGCAUAAAACACACCAUCGCUCAUCGUCCCCAAACAGCUCCGCCACCUGCAGAGAUUCUCUAAGUCACUCGCUCUGUCUAACAAGAACAUGGACAAAAACACCAAAAAGUUGGGAUCUCGUAAUUUAGGCUGAGGAUGCUCACUGUGUUUUUAAAUCUGUGUGGGAAAGUGAUAAAUGUUUUUGGUGUUUUGCAUAAUGGAACUUGAAUUUCACACUCACUGUAGACAUGCAGGUUGGUGGAGGCCAGAGGUAGAAUAAGAAAUCAGGUGUUUUGUGUUGUUUAAAUAUGCAAAUUAGUUUGAAUAUGCAAACUGGGCAUUAUCUAAUGAUAACUGGCGGUGAAUUUAGGAGAUAUCUACACAAACAAACAGACAACGUUUAGUGACAUAAAUCCCUAAAUGUG